AUAAAGCAGCUAUCCGAACCUAAUCCGAUUCCGAUAGGAUUAGGAGGUAUUUAGUUGUAGCCAAAGGGUGGUGGUGGUCGUGCAGCUCGCGGAGUCGUGGUAUUUGCAGAAUGCGACACUACAAGAUUAGGUCCUUUAUAAACAGCAGUGAAUUUGCAAAUAUAUAAUGGAGAAGGUAAUUGGAUUGCUUGUGUAGAAAUACCGACCUACAGAAAGUGCAGUGCAAGUCAUGCUUAGAACUUCUGAAAGUGGACACUGCGACGAAAGCGGUGCAUGAAAUCCUCGCGCUGAUGUUGUUAUGAUGACGUCUCUGUGGACGAUGAUAUAGCCCGGCUAUAUUGAAGAUCUAUGGCUGAAGGAAGUGCUUGGCUGACAUUUUACAGAGAAGUAAGGGACCCUCGACACCCACUACUGUCAACCAUGUCUGUCAUAAAAACUGAAUGGAAUGUCUGUAUUUGCAGAGGAUUCGUCCCCUUAGAUUCAUUUAGGUACCUUACUACUGGUGGUGCUUUAUAACCAUGAUCUCACCCAUAAGGCUGUGCCGUCACCUUGUUUGAAUGUACACUCCGGCGAACUUUAUUCAACAUUUUAAUUUUUUUUUCUAAAGUUGGCUCUCGGCUUGCUUACUUUUCAAAUCGAUCAUUUUUGUCAUAUCUGGAACGAUGUGGCAUUCCUGGAUUUUUUUUUCUAUACAUAGUAUAGUGGUUCGAACUCACUGGCUAGGUUACUUCUGUAAACUUCUGUGGUUAAUGUACAUAGUCACAUUACUAACUGUAUAAAUGUUCUCUCAGUUCAUUUCACCCUCGGUACUUUUCUUUUACUGCAUUUGUUUUGUGCUUUCAGUUGUCUUUGGUAAAAUUGACUGAAACUGUCCUUGCAACUCAUUCUGCGGGAAAGAAAUGCAACAAGCUGUAGUCGCGGCUUGAGGACACUUUCUUGGUGUCGAACUUUAUAUUUGAAACUUUAGUUUCUAGAAGUAAAUUUAAGAUAACAUUUCUCUUUCGGGGUUUCACUACUGCCACUGCAUUAAGCUGACUUGAGUAUGCUGUCCUCCCCAUGAAAUUUGAAGGUGCAGAAUUUUAAGGAUUUAUAAUAAAAGUGUGUUUAGGGUCUUUCACUACCCAAAUAGUGACUGUGUCUUAAACAAAUGUAUUUAUUCAAUCCCUAGGGAUAUCCUAUUGUAAUUAUAUGCUAAACACAGAAUGAUUUGGCCAAAAGGGUUUAUUAAUCAUGGUGGCAUGUCAGCCCUGUCUGACUCGUAGGCGAAGUUACUCAUAUUGUCGUUACACAUUUUUCUGCCAUAGUCAAGGUUACUGUUUAUGAACUUAUGGGCGCAUAAGUCCAUUGUGCUAUACCAAGAGCUUAUAGACACAUCAAUCCAUUGUGGCAUGGCAGUUAACAUGUGAGUAAACCAGCACAUUUCUCGUGUAACUGAAAAAUUUAUGUGUGAAAUUAAUAAUACCCCCCAUUCUCAUGUAGAAAAUCAAUCAAGGAUUUUCACAAACUUUAGCCUGAUAUGUAAUGUAGAAAACUAUCAAAUCAGGAACAAAAGAUCAAUCGUGGUUUGGUGAAUCAUGUAGAUAGUAUACUUUGUUGUAAAUAGGCCAAGUGCACCAAUAUAUGGAAAUGCAAUUUAACCCAGUUUUAUUACCAUAAGAUCACUACUGAAAGUUAUUGGGAAACAGUGGACGAAAUUGAAAUCCUCUGUCAUUAGAUCUAAGGCAUCCACCGUUCGUCCCUUAUUAAUAACUGGACACUCAUUAGUCCUGAUUACAAAGCAGUGUUACUUCAAAGGCCCUCUAAAACUUGUCUUCAGUUGAAGUUUUCUUCUGAUACUGGUUUUCAUUCGGAUGUCAUUAAAAAGAUUCAAGAAAACCUAGACGGUUUUGGUGAAGAAAAUCCAGAUGAAGUUUUACUGCUGUUUUCAUAGCAGAUGUGCGAUGUCCCAUACUGAAUACUAUAGUAUGACCAUUUUUUUCCAGAACAGUUCUGGUAUUUUUGUACAAGGCAUAUUCCAAAAAGUUCUGGUAUUUUUUGUACAAGGCAUAUUCUAAAAUUGUGUUAAUACUGACUGGAAAACUGAAAGGCAAAUCUUUAUCCCUCUCAUGUUCUUCAAUGUUCCAGUGACCUUACAAGUUGUUUAAAGGUUGAUAAAUACUUAGACUCUUACAAUCUGACGUCAGUUUUGUUAAGGAAAUAAUAAGAAUCUUUUGAUGCCUUUUUACACAUAUUUAGCUUAAUUGUAUACAAUAGUGAUGUGAAUUUUUUAUACGUUUUAUUGUCCACAUUUCAUAUCAUUCACUGAUAUUAUCGCUGAAUACACUUUUUAUAAGCCUAGAUCUAUUUGUCUGGUGUUUUGUAGGGUAGUGUUGUUGUUUUUAGUCAUUUUAGUCGUUUUUUUUUUUUGUCUUUUCAAAUGGGAUAGUACAGUGAGCAGUUGAUGCAAUCUUUGUUGUAGUUUUGUUCUUCCUAAAUGCUAAGUAAAGUUAUCAUAAGCUUUGAUGGUUUGUACCAGUAUUAGAAAGUUGAUACUA
Macrobrachium nipponense is the source of this 2534-nucleotide long non-coding RNA. RefSeq lists it as uncharacterized. The record is from RefSeq and is a predicted model, not a curated record. The transcript is spliced from 3 exons. NCBI's taxonomy places the organism in Eukaryota, Metazoa, Arthropoda, Malacostraca, Decapoda, Palaemonidae.